Molecule: ribosomal RNA, 466 nt
Filed under: uncultured bacterium
Lineage: Bacteria
Description: partial 16S ribosomal RNA
Rfam family: Bacterial small subunit ribosomal RNA
Source: RNAcentral
GACGAACGCUGGCGGCGUGCUUAACACAUGCAAGUCGAACGGAAAGGCCUCUUUCGGUGGGUAUUCGAGUGGCGAACUGGUGAGUAACACGGGAGUAACCUGCCCUUUACUUUGGGAUAACUUCAGGAAACGGGGGCCUAUACCUGAUAGGAGCUCCUGCCGCCUGGUGGGGGUUGGAGAGCUUCGGAGGUUGGGGGUGGACUGGCGGCUUAUCCGCUUGUGCGUGGAGUAGGGGCUUACCAAGGCAGUGGCGGGUAGCCGGCAUGGGAAUGGGACCGGCCACCUGGGGACUGAGAUACGGCCCAGUGUGCUACAGGAGACAGCAGUGGGAAAUAUUGCACAAUGGGUGGACGCCUGAUGCAGCAACGUUGUGUGCGUGAAGACGGCCUUUGGGGUGUGAACCGCUUUCGCCUGAGACGAAGCGGGAGUGACGGUAAUGAGUAAAGAAGCACCGGCUAACUACGUG